RNAcentral lists this ribosomal RNA (458 nucleotides) under uncultured bacterium. RNAcentral describes it as "partial 16S ribosomal RNA". It matches the Rfam family "Bacterial small subunit ribosomal RNA", at positions 338 to 795 of the family's 1533-position model. The record is from RNAcentral.
CCUACGGGUGGCAGCAGUGAGGAAUAUUGGUCAAUGGGCGAGAGCCUGAACCAGCCAAGUUGCGUGAGGGAGUACUGCCCUAUGGGUUGUAAACCUCUUUUGUCGGGGAGCAAAAGCCGGACGUGUCCGGCUGUGAGAGUACCCGAAGAAAAAGCAUCGGCUAACUCCGUGCCAGCAGCCGCGGUAAUACGGAGGAUGCGAGCGUUAUCCGGAUUUAUUGGGUUUAAAGGGUGCGCAGGCGGAUUUUUAAGUCAGCGGUAAAAUCGUGGGGCUCAACCCCAUCCAGCCGUUGAAACUGGGGAUCUAGAGUGUGCGAGAGGUAUGCGGAAUGCGUGGUGUAGCGGUGAAAUGCAUAGAUAUCACGCAGAACCCCGAUUGCGAAGGCAGCAUACCGGUGCACAACUGACGCUCAGGCACGAAAGCGUGGGUAUCGAACAGGAUUAGAUACCCCAGUAGUC